RNAcentral lists this ribosomal RNA (253 nucleotides) under uncultured bacterium. RNAcentral's name for it is "partial 16S ribosomal RNA". It matches the Rfam family "Bacterial small subunit ribosomal RNA", at positions 524 to 776 of the family's 1533-position model. The record is from RNAcentral.
UACGUAGGGGGCAAGCGUUGUCCGGAAUCAUUGGGCGUAAAGCGCGUGUAGGCGGUUCGGUAAGUCUGCUGUGAAAGUCCAGGGCUCAACCCUGGGAUGCCGGUGGAUACUGUCGAACUAGAGUACGGAAGAGGCGAGUGGAAUUCCCGGUGUAGCGGUGAAAUGCGUAGAGAUCCGGAGGAACACCAGAGGCGAAGGCGGCCUACUGGGCUGCACCUGACGCUGAGCCGCGAAAGCCAGGGGAGCGAACGGG